UUUUUUUUUGUGGCUACUAUUGCCAUUUAUCCAAAAUAUUACACUUCCCGGAACUGAAAUAUUAGAAUGUUUUACUACAGACUUCAACACUGUAGUUCUAUGUUUAUACACAUGCACCUAAUUUUGUAAGACUGUUAUUUGAACAUUUAUCUUUUUUUUUCUUUUCUUUUUGUUAAUUUUUAGUUUUGCAUGUCUAUCUCGGACUACAAGUUUUUGUUUGCAUUGUCAUUUAUUGUUCUCGUUGAUAUGGUUGUUUUAUUUUACAAAUGUGACACAAUCAAUAAGUGUUGAUUAUAAAGGCAUGCAUUUUUCAACUUCUGAUAUUGAUUACAAUUGUAAGUCGUAUUGUGUGGUCAUUAAAUACCUGGUGAUUCAAACACAUAUAUACUAUCAAUCCUAUGGUCUGCCGUAAAUAGAACAGUCGGUGUGGAUCCUUGAGAUUUAUUCAUCAUAAUUAACUGCUUGUUAUUAUCAGCAUAGUAAAUGUAAUCACCCGAUACACCUAUAGCACGGUAGUCAUAAGAAGGAAAAUUUGUUGAAACGAUUGUUUUAAUAUCAGAACCAUCCACAUUAACUGAUUUUAAAUCACCAUAGUAAUUCAUCCAAUACACUCU
This 614-nucleotide long non-coding RNA is filed under the name Mytilus galloprovincialis (Mediterranean mussel). The record is from RNAcentral. Lineage: Eukaryota; Metazoa; Mollusca; Bivalvia; Mytilida; Mytilidae.